GACAGAGGGUGCAAACGUUGUUCGGAUUUACUGGGCGUAAAGCGCGUGUAGGCGGCUUGGCAAGUUGGAUGUGAAAGCCCACGGCUCAACCGUGGAAGCGCAUCCAAAACUGCUUCGCUCGAGUCUCGGAGAGGAAGGUGGAAUGCUUGGUGUAGAGGUGAAAUUCGUAGAUAUCAGGAGGAACACCGGUGGUGUAGACGGCUUUCUGGACCGUAACUGACGCUGAGACACGAAAGCGUGGGUAGCAAACAGG
Molecule: ribosomal RNA, 253 nt
Filed under: uncultured bacterium
Lineage: Bacteria
Description: partial 16S ribosomal RNA
Rfam family: Bacterial small subunit ribosomal RNA
Source: RNAcentral